Molecule: non-coding RNA, 384 nt
Organism: Gracilinanus agilis (Agile Gracile Mouse Opossum)
Lineage: Eukaryota; Metazoa; Chordata; Mammalia; Didelphimorphia; Didelphidae
Source: the annotation of a RefSeq genome assembly
AUGAGAUCUGGACUCAAUGGGAUUUUCAUUCUGACAUUAUUGCGAGGUGUCCAUUGUGACAUUCAGCUGGUGGAGUCUGGGGGAGACGUGAGACAGCCUGGAGGAUCCCUGAAACUCUCCUGCAAAGCCUCUGGAUUUGACUUCAGCAGCUAUUUCAUGAAUUGGGUUCGCCAGGCUCCAGGGAAGGGGCUGGAGUGGAUCUCAUACAUUAGUGGUACUGGAAGUGAUAUAUACUAUGCAGACUCUGUGAAAGGGCGAUUCACCAUCUCCAGGGACAAUGGCAACAGCCUGCUGCACCUGCAGAUGAAUUCCCUGAAAGCUGAGGACACAGCCAUGUAUUACUGUGCAAGAGAAUUCACUUGUGAAUCCAUCUGGUCCUUGGGA